UUCGCCAAAUUAAAACCUUGGCGUCAAACAAACAUGUAGCUCAAGCUUUUGAAAGCGUUAUAUUUGUUGUUGUGAUUUUUGAAAAGUUUAGAGUAAAAUGUUGACUGAUAUUGAGAGUUUUACAACUGUUGGCAUUUAUUUCCUAUUUAAAUUAUUUUUUAAUAUAUAACUGAAGAUUGUUUGGCUUCAAGGAUGCUGUUGUGUGAAUUAUGACAAGAUAAUUUUUCAUUUAACUCAAAGAGGUAAAUUUGCUGCCCUGCCUAGAGCUGUAUUAACUACACCUGUAUACUUUUAUAGACAUCAAAGGAGAAUGUGCAGCUCAGAAUUCAUGGUCAAAAACUAUCGGAUGUGAAAUGUAAAGAAAGAGCACUCGAUAUACAUCUCAUGUAUUGACUAUCAGGAGUUGAUUUGUCAUGACUUCAGCGGAGUUAGAUCUCAAUUCCAUAUUUAGUUAGCUUCACUGGAGUUGGGAAUCAAAUGUGAAUGGACCUUGAGUAAUUUACAGGAUGUGACAACACAUAGCCAGUGUGAGCACAUACCACAUGUUUGAGUACAUACUGAUUUACAUGCUGCAUUUUGCUGAACAGUAUCUACCAGUUGUAAAAAAUGUAAAUAUGACAUAAAAUAAAUCAUCAGCAAUUACAACAUGUGAUUUGCAUUUUCAUGUUUCAGUUCUUGUCACUGCUACAGCGAAGAAGUAUCUCUGUGUUGUUUUUAAUCUUCCAUCUACCAGAUAUGUCUACUGGACCAGAUAGCGAUAUUUAAUGCAAGUUCUUUCAUCAAAAAUAGAUAUAAAAUAUUGUUAUUAUUUGAUUUUUCUGUCAUGUUCUUCUGUAGUUAUAUGCAGUUUAUCAUUAAAAUGUGUUUGAAAUUUU
Molecule: long non-coding RNA, 875 nt
Organism: Stegodyphus dumicola
Lineage: Eukaryota; Metazoa; Arthropoda; Arachnida; Araneae; Eresidae
Source: RefSeq, a predicted model, not a curated record